ACGAACGCUGGCGGCGUGCUUAACACCUGCAAGUCGCACGGAAAGGCCCUGCUUUUGUGGGGUGCUCGAGUGGCGAACGGGUGAGUAACACGUGAGUAACCUGCCCUUGACUUUGGGAUAACUUCAGGAAACUGGGGCUAAUACCGGAUAGGAGCUCCUGCUGCAUGGUGGGGGUUGGAAAGUUUCGGCGAUUGGGGAUGGACUCGCGGCUUAUCAGCUUGUUGGUGGGGUAGUGGCUUACCAAGGCUUUGACGGGUAGCCGGCCUGAGAGGGUGACCGGCCACAUUGGGACUGAGAUACGGCCCAGACUCCUACGGGAGGCAGCAGUGGGGAAUAUUGCACAAUGGGCGGAAGCCUGAUGCAGCAACGCCGCGUGCGGGAUGACGGCCUUCGGGUUGUAAACCGCUUUCGCCUGUGACGAAGCGUGAGUGACGGUAAUGGGUAAAGAAGCACCGGCUAACUACGUG
Molecule: ribosomal RNA, 467 nt
Filed under: uncultured bacterium
Lineage: Bacteria
Description: partial 16S ribosomal RNA
Rfam family: Bacterial small subunit ribosomal RNA
Source: RNAcentral